GACGAACGCUGGCGGCGUGCCUAAUACAUGCAAGUCGAACGGGGUAAGCCUCUUCGGAGACUUACUUAGUGGCGAACGGGUGAGUAACGCGUGAGAAACCUACCUUUCAGUGGGGGACAACAGUUGGAAACGACUGCUAAUACCGCAUGAUGUAGCGAAGGGGCAUCCCUUUGCUACCAAAGCUUUAUGUGCUGAAAGAUGGUCUCGCGUCUGAUUAGCUAGUUGGUGAGGUAACGGCCCACCAAGGCGACGAUCAGUAGCCGGUCUGAGAAGAUGAACGGCCACAUUGGGACUGAGAUACGGCCCAG
Molecule: ribosomal RNA, 308 nt
Filed under: uncultured bacterium
Lineage: Bacteria
Description: bacterial SSU rRNA
Rfam family: Bacterial small subunit ribosomal RNA
Source: RNAcentral